Oryctolagus cuniculus (rabbit) is the source of this 1232-nucleotide non-coding RNA. NCBI's taxonomy places the organism in Eukaryota, Metazoa, Chordata, Mammalia, Lagomorpha, Leporidae. The record is from RefSeq and is a predicted model, not a curated record.
AAUAUCAGGGGAGCGCACAUGCUCCUACCAACAAGGGAGAGGAGAAAUCCUAUAUGCACUUGCAUUAGGAGGUAAUAUUCAAAAUGUGCAAUAACCACAUUAAUUUAUAACAUAAAGCCUAGCUGCAUCCUGGAGUUAACCUGGGAAUGGUUACAAAUUUUAGUGAGAUAAGGGAGGGUUGCAGGAAAAGACUGGGGUGAUAGAGAUAUUCUGAUUUGAAACACUAUUAACCAACCAGCUCUAAAUUAUUGUAAUAUCAUAACAAUGGGAACAGACAUAAAGCGAAAACCAGCUGAGUGUCCAACCCCAGUCAUGCUCAGUGUGGCUCUCAUGGAGAUAAUAGAACAUUAGCAUGGGUGGAAUUGAGCUUGGAUAGUGCUACUCCUUCUGUGGCUUAUGUGUGGUAUGUGAGAUUCCAGAAUUCCUUCCAAAUAUCAGCGAGGGGAUGGAAAAUCCUCGUACAAACCUACAGCCAAGUUAAGAAGGCAGCCAAAAAGGCAAUUUUCAACAUUUGAGGCAAGAAGCUAGAGCUGUGAAAUACUACAGAGGUUCCCUCCUGAAUAGUUUAGCCACUGAUGGGACCAGGAAAUCUUCAAUCCAGGUAGCAGGAGAGUCCAGCUACAGCAAGGCAAGGCCAGAGAGGAGCAAGAAGGCCUGUUUCACGCCGACACCAACAAUGGACUGCCGGUUGAAAUGCUGGUGACAAAUAUGAUGUCUUUUCUCCUGUCUCUUUGAUGGUUUAUGAUACACUGAGAGCAGCACAGGAAUGGAAUGCCUUAAUUUUAUUGGUGAAAUAGCAGCAUCUUCUAUCCUACUCCAGAAUCUCCAACACUUAUCAAAGAGUCUGGCAUAUAAAAGCUGCUCAAUAAACACUUUGAUAUGACUGGAACUGGCAUAUCAGGGAGGCAAGUAGCUGAUGCUAUAGGCUGAUACCCUUGGUGGUUUUAGCACAUAGCAAUGAGAUAUCAACUCAAGAGAAAAAAACUCAAUUUAAGAAAUCCAUGUUGGUGCAGUGAUCAAGUAUUUCCACCUCCUAUGGUUGCUGUGGCUGAUGUGCAUGAAGUACUCCAUAACGGGAACAGCCAAACAUCAUGGAAAAAAGAUGAGAAGGGAAGAUGAUGCAAUUUUUAUCUUAAUGCUUUCAGUGGUUUUCUAAAGUCCUAAAAUGUACAUGUAUAAUUUUUUAAAAUGGGAAAUAAACGUUACAUAGGCGAGAAAGGGUGAGCCAGACA